Molecule: long non-coding RNA, 799 nt
Filed under: Fukomys damarensis (Damara mole-rat)
Lineage: Eukaryota; Metazoa; Chordata; Mammalia; Rodentia; Bathyergidae
Description: lncRNA (ENSFDAG00000026588.1)
Source: RNAcentral
GGAGGGGGAAGGGCCUUUCCAACAGAGUGACUGACAUCUGUGAAGGCAUGAAAAAAAAAAAAAAAGAAUUUGGCUUUGAAUGUAGAGGCCACGAAGAGAAAGGUGGUAGGAACUCAAUCUGGGAGGAUGGAUAUAUGUCUGUUGGGUCUGGGGUCUGCAUCUAGGGGUCCCAAAAGUCACCCUAGGUGGGUCUCUUUCUCCUCUCUCUCUCUCUCCCUGACACAGAAGAGAAGUCAGAACAGUAGACCAGUGCAAACCAAAAGUAAUUUUAUUGCAAGAGGAAUUGGUUAAAAGUCACAGGGCUCAGAGGUAGGAUACCUUCAAAUCUGGGGCUAUGGUCCUUUUUGGGGGGAUGAGGACCCCAUCCAUCUCCAAACCCCUGAGGGUCACGACUUGAUUGGUUCUUAGACUUAUACUAGAGGGCCAGGUUUGGUUAACUGUCGCGAGUUGCGACGUCAGGAUCCUGCCAGCAGGUCCUAAACCUGAAAGGACGAGGACAGAGAGACGGGAGGCACUUACCUUCUCAAGUUCCUUGCUUGCUUGCUUACUUUAUUACAGAACCUCUUCCUUUUAUACUCUCCAGCUGCAUGGGAGCGAGGGCUGCACGGGAGCGAGAGUACCACCCACACAUUCCAGAGGGAAGCAAUAACAACCACUAUGGGUUACAUCUGCUACCAGCUGAACUCGCCCGUGGCUAUGGGCGAGAGCACGUCCGUGCCAGCGAGCUGGCGCCGGAACGUGGGGCUAGAAGAACAGGAAACCUGAUUGAAAGAGGAUCGGAUUUCGCUGUGAGAGACGG